GACGAACGCUGGCGGCGUGCUUAACACAUGCAAGUCGAACGGAAAGGCCCUGCUUUUGUGGGGUGCUCGAGUGGCGAACGGGUGAGUAACACGUGAGUAACCUGCCCUUGACUUUGGGAUAACUUCAGGAAACUGGGGCUAAUACCGGAUAGGAGCUCCUGCUGCAUGGUGGGGGUUGGAAAGUUUCGGCGGUUGGGGAUGGACUCGCGGCUUAUCAGCUUGUUGGUGGGGUAGUGGCUUACCAAGGCUUUGAAGGGUAGCCUGCCUGCUAGGGUGACCGGCCACAUUGGGACUGGGAUACGGCCCAGACUCCUACGGGAGGCAGCAGUGCGGAAUAUUGCACAAUGGGCGGAAGCCUGAUGCAGCAACGCCGCGUGCGGGAUGACGGCCUUCGGGUUGUAAACCGCUUUCGCCUGUGACGAAGCGUGAGUGACGGUAAUGGGUAAAGAAGCACCGGCUAACUACGUG
RNAcentral lists this ribosomal RNA (468 nucleotides) under uncultured bacterium. Its description in RNAcentral is "partial 16S ribosomal RNA". It matches the Rfam family "Bacterial small subunit ribosomal RNA", at positions 28 to 507 of the family's 1533-position model. The record is from RNAcentral.